This is a long non-coding RNA of Xiphophorus hellerii (green swordtail), 124 nucleotides long. RefSeq lists it as uncharacterized. The record is from RefSeq and is a predicted model, not a curated record. The transcript has 3 exons. Lineage: Eukaryota; Metazoa; Chordata; Actinopteri; Cyprinodontiformes; Poeciliidae.
AAAGGCUGGUUCUGUGGAAAAGGCCCACUGACAGCAUUCAGAGCAGCAGAGCACCAUCAAUCAGGUCUAUGUAUGAGCAGAAAUGGACGGUGUUUGAAAGCAGGACAUACAGGAGCGAGAUAGA